RNAcentral lists this ribosomal RNA (468 nucleotides) under uncultured bacterium. RNAcentral describes it as "partial 16S ribosomal RNA". It matches the Rfam family "Bacterial small subunit ribosomal RNA", at positions 28 to 507 of the family's 1533-position model. The record is from RNAcentral.
GACGAACGCUGGCGGCGUGCUUAACACAUGCAAGUCGAACGGAAAGGCCCUGCUUUUGUGGGGUGCUCGAGUGGCGAACGGGUGAGUAACACGUGAGUAACCUGCCCUUGACUUUGGGAUAACUUCAGGAAACUGGGGCUAAUACCGGAUAGGAGCUCCUGCUGCAUGGUGGGGGUUGGAAAGUUUCGGCGGUUGGGGAUGGACUCGCGGCUUAUCAGCUUGUUGGUGGGGUAGUGGCUUACCAAGGCUUUGACGGGUAGCCGGCCUGAGAGGGUGACCGGCCACAGUGGGACUGAGAUACGGCCCAGACUGCUACGGGAGGCAGCAGGGGGGAAUAUUGCAGAAUGGGCGGAAGCCUGAUGCAGCAGCGCCGCGUGCGGGAUGACGGACUUCGGGUUGUAAACAGCGUACGCCGGUGAAGAAGCGUGAGUGACGGUAAUGGGUAAAGGAGCACCGGAUAACUACGUG